GUAGGCAAGGGAAGUCGGCAAAAUGGAUCCGUAACCUCGGGAAAAGGAUUGGCUCUGAGGGCUGGGCACCGGGGGCCCAGUCCCGAACCCGUCGGCUGCCGGUACACUGCUCGAGCUGCUUUCGCGGUGAGAGCGGGUCGCCAUGUGCCGGCUGGGGGAUGGACUGGGAACGGCUCCUUCGGGGGCCUUUCCCGGGCGACGAAUAGUCGACUCAGAACUGGUACGGACAAGGGGAAUCUGACUGUUUAAUUAAAACAAAGCAUUGCGAUGGUCCC
Molecule: ribosomal RNA, 275 nt
Organism: Gossypium arboreum
Lineage: Eukaryota; Viridiplantae; Streptophyta; Magnoliopsida; Malvales; Malvaceae
Rfam family: Eukaryotic large subunit ribosomal RNA
Source: Rfam